GGGCUUCUUCCUCCUGGCGAUUCCUCUUCAGAGCUCCGAAGUUGUCUUUGGCAAGGCAGUGUGGUGCAAAUAAAGUGAAGAAAUGAAUGCAUUCAAGGCUUACAAAGCAUGUGUACCUGUUGAAUGGAGCUCCAACUUAUGCGUAACCUUGGUGAGGGGUAUUCCCGGAACCAGGAGACUGCACAGGCGUACAUUAGAGGCGUUACGCCUUCGCAAGUGCAAUCGAACUGUCAUGAGGUGGAACACCCCGACUGUCAGAGGAAUGCUUCAACAGGUUAAAAGAUUGGUUGUGAUUGAGACUGAGGAGAUGUAUAAAGCCCGUAAACAGGAGGGGGCAAAACACCUGGCUCUUGGUUCCCCGUUGGUUGUCACUCACCUCCCUGCUUCUGUAAGUAAUUACUCCGAGUGACCUAUUCAGCCAAGGUUGGUUCCCAAGCCUCCUUGGGGUAUUGAAACAAACGGUCAUCGAAGUAUUCAAGUUUUAAGAAAGAUAUCUAUGUACAUUGAAAUGUUAUCGAGCACUUCUGUCGAGGUGUUGAUAGUUUUACUAGUCAAUGGGCACAAGCUUUUGUGGUUGGUGGUGCACUACUUGUGCUAUUUUCUCUGAAAUGUUUUUUGUUUAUGUGGAAUUGUGAAAAUAAUGAAAUCUUCUAUGGUAGCCAAAAAAAAAUCAUAAAUAGUGAAGUUUCAUCCAUGUUUGCUUAUAAAUUGGGAUGGUGGGAAAAGUGAUCUAAUGAUUUUCAUGCUUGGUUCAUUUAUUUUGCUUAAUGGUGUAUGGGUUAUGUUUGGUAUGUGGUCUUGGACUUCCUCACCAAAUCACUUGCUGAUUGGUAUGUCCACAAUAUGCGGAUACUAUUUGCUUCAAUGCCGCUUCAUGUCGGUUAAGUUUCAUUCCGUUUGAUAUCAAGCUCUGAGAAGCAAGUAGAAGAAUUGUUGCACGCCCUCUUGUUAUGUCAUCCAAUUCAAAUCCAAAGGUCGAAGUAUUGGACCUAACCAGAGAAUUUUGAUAUGAACUGGUCAUGAGCAGAAUUGCAUGCGGGGCCGAUGCGGAAUGGUGGCAUAGGUGAUCCAGAUCUUUUCUCAACGUACUAAACAGUUUUAAUUUGUUGCUGAAUACGUAUGGCCAUGGCAACAUUUUAUUUGGAUGUAUGCUUUUGGAAUUUAUGCUGUGAUUUGUUUACGAAUAACCAAUUUGCACAUUCUUUACUGUAGGGGAAAAAUAUCACCGCUGCCAAAUGAACCUUUAUGAUACAUUCUGUUGUCCUCGCAAGAAUCUUAAUUUGUGGUAGUUUUUUUUGGAGAUUAUGCUAAAAUUUGUUAAUAGAUAACAAAAUGCACAUUCUUUACUUGGGGAAAAAGAAUAACACUGCAGCCAAGUGAAGUUUAUGAGAUAUUUUGUUGUCUUUGAUGGUCAACUGAAACAAAAAAUGCAAACCUAAUACCUUGUUUUGUUUGGAUAAAAGUACCCAUACCCAUGGACAUCAAUACUACAUUCCAUAUAACUGGCAAGAUGUUUAUACAUUUGUACCUUCUUGAUAAGAGUGUAAGAUAAAUUUGAACUUUGGGUUAUUCCUGCCAGAGAUGGUUU
Molecule: RNA transcript, 1588 nt
Organism: Rhododendron vialii
Lineage: Eukaryota; Viridiplantae; Streptophyta; Magnoliopsida; Ericales; Ericaceae
Exons: 4
Source: RefSeq, a predicted model, not a curated record